This 43095-nucleotide long non-coding RNA is filed under the name Gossypium barbadense (sea-island cotton). Its description in RNAcentral is "long non-coding RNA (GBAR_LNC020333)". Lineage: Eukaryota; Viridiplantae; Streptophyta; Magnoliopsida; Malvales; Malvaceae. The record is from RNAcentral.
CGUUCCCCUCAGACCCAAAUUUUGCGAAACAACAACGGUGUGGAAGGUCGCUGAUUACGACCACUCAGCCGGAAAAUGGUGGGUGAUAACCGAUGGGGUUAAAGGGAACCCAGGUGCCAACACUUUGACCAGUUGGUUUAGAAUAGAGAAGACGACUACUGAUUUUGAUUACACAUUUAAGUACUGCCCCGCAGUAUGUGGAACAUGCCCAGCCUUAUGCAACAAAAUUGUGAGAGACUUUGAUGGAGAAAUGGUACGUUUGGCUCUCACCACUGGCCAUGGAUGGCCAUUUAUCUUUAAGAAAGUUGGAAAAUCAGCCAUGGAGAUUGAACAAGUUGUUCAUAAUUAGAUUGAAAGCAAUCAUUAUGCAUGAACUAGUAGUUACUACAUAAUAUUAGCUUCAAGUAAAUAAUGCUGAGGGAACUUAUUGUUAAGAUUGCCUUGUUUGAAGCGGCAGCAUGUAUAUAUAUAUGCUUGCUUACAAGGUUUGUCUCUCAGAGUCCUCCUCUUUGUACUCUUUUCAGCUUAAUGAAUAAACUGUUUACUUAUUUACUUCUUUUGUUGCCAUUGAUUCUAGUAGCAUUCGACUCAUUAACUUGGAUACAUUACCUUGUAAUUAACCAAAAAGUUAUGUGUAUAUAUAUAAAGAGUGUGUGAGAGAAAAAAUAAAAUACCAAGUACCAAGUGAAAAAUGUUAAUACUAGGAUUAUUCAAAGCGAUUUCAAUGAACAGAAAUGGAAUAGUCGUCGGGUGGUUAGGACAUUUUAUCUUUAGAGAUAAAGAAGGUUGGUUCAUGUUCGGAGUUUGUGGCCACUCCUUCAAUAAUAUCGUUUUUAAAGUUUAAACUUGUAUCACAUUUUAAACACGUAAUGUAUCUUACCAUUACAUCCAACAAUAUUAACCAUUUACUCUAUUGUAUUGUAUUGUAUUCUAUUAUUAAUUAAUGAUUAUGAUAUGUAUUAAGUUUAAGAUGAAUUUUCUCAGUAAUGUAUAUCAAUGAAAUCAAAUAUUUGUAUUUAAAGUUUUAACUCCACAUUAACUUUUUUUUUAUUUUGUCCGUUUGCUGGCGAUGAUUAGGAGAUUAAUGGUUGGUAUUUGUGGUUAGUAGCUUAUAACUCGAGGGUUGAUAGUGGCCCGACUCCACUUAAAUAAAAAAUUUUACAUUUAAAUUUCUUUAUAAUUUAUAAAAUUUUAAAUUAAUAAUAAAAAAUUAUAUUUUAACUCUCUAAAAUUAAUAAAAAUGAUAAAAAUGUAGAAGUAAAUUUAUACAAUUAAUGAUAAUAAUGAUAAGAAGUUGUUUCCUAUCACAUGGAAAUUUAUGGCAUCGUCCAUUUGGUUUUAUAUUUGUCCAUUUGCUUGGUUAAGAGUUGAAAGACAAACUAUAAUUAAAUAUACAAAACCAAACGAAUUUCAAGGGUUUUCUCUUCAAUUAUUGUCGAAUUUAGCUAAUUAUUAGUAAUUUUUAUUAUUUAAUUAUAAAAAUUAUAAAAUAGUGACUUAAUUAUAAAUAUAUAUAUAUAUAUAAAAUAGCCAUCUAAUUAUUUAAUUUUUUUCUUUUUUAUCAUCACAGGAUUAAUGGUGGUAAUUUUUAUAAUUGACAUAAUAGUAACUUUAACCAUUAAUAAUUAUACAUUAUGUCAAUUUAGUCUUGAUUCUAAAAAAUUUAACCUUUGACAUUUACACAUAUAUAAUUUGAUAUUUUUAUAAUUUUAUUUUUUACUAAAAAUAAAUCAUGAAAAUAAUAAAAUAUGCAUAAAAAUAAAAAUACAGCUACCGAGUAUAUGUCUUAUUGUAGAUUUAUAACAAUUAUCUUUUCAUAAAGAUAUUUUAUUAUAAAAUAUAUAAUAAGCACUUCCCUGUAACAAAUAAAAUUGUAGUAAACAAAUGAAAUUAUUAUAAAGAAGAAUUUUCUAUUUUCAUAAUAAUAAUAAUAAUAAUAAAAGAAAAGAAAAAAGUGGUUCUAUUAAUUCACCUCACAUUUGAAAUAUGUUAUAUGUAAUAAUAUUAAUGUCUUUAUCAAUUUUGGUGGUUCAUCCUUUCCCAUCUCUAUAAAUUUGCAUGCAGAACUAAAGCAACACAUAUCAACACAAUCUGUAUAACCAUGAAAACCACAACAGCUUCGGUGUUUCUUCUUUUCAUCAUCUUCUCAAUCACACCAUUGUCCUUUUCGUUUGGUGUGGCCAACACUACAAACGCUCCUGUGCUCGACAGUGAUGGCAACGAGCUCCGCACAGGCACCCCAUACUUCGUUGUGUCGUCGAUAUGGGGUGCUGGUGGUGGGGGGCUUGCCCUAGGCAUGCCUAGAGGAAAGCCAUGCCCGGAAGUCGUUGCUCAAAGAGGAUCCGGUGACGAUGGUAUUCCGGUGAUAUUUUCUAAUUCGGACUCCAACGAUGGCGUUGUUCGCCUAUCCUCUGACAUAAACAUAGAGUUCAUUCCCCUCAGACCCAGAUUUUGCCAAACAACAACGGUGUGGAAGGUCGAUGAUUACGACCACUCAGCCGGAAAAUGGUGGGUGAUAACCGAUGGGGUUAAAGGGAACCCAGGUGCCAACACUUUGACCAGUUGGUUUAGAAUAGAGAAGGCGGGUGAUCUUGAUUACCCAUUUAAGUACUGCCCCGCUGUAUGUGGAACAUGCCCAGCCUUAUGCAACAAAAUUACGAGAGACUCAGAUGGAGAAAUGAUACGUUUGGCUCUCUCCGCUGGCCAUGGAUGGCCAUUUUUCUUUAAGAAAUUUCAAACAUCAGCCAUGGAGAUUGAACAAGUUGUUCAUAAUUAGAUUGAAAGCAAUCAUUAUGCAUGAACUAGUAGUUACUAUACAAUAUUAGCUUCAAGUAAAUAAUGCUGGGAGAACUGAUUGUUAAGAUUGCCUUGUUUGAAGCAGCAGCAUGUAUAUAUAUAUGCUUGCUUACAAGGUUUGUCUCUCAGAGUCCUUCUCUUUGUACUCUUUUCAGCUUAAUAUAUAAACUGUCUACUUAUUUACUUCUUUUAUUGCCAUUGAUUCUAGUAGUAUUAGACUCAUUAACUUGGAUACAUUGUCUUGUAAGAGAUAGCUUAUCUCUUAACAACUGUUUGGGUCAACAAAAUUAAUGUAUAUAUGAAAACGAAUAUUGAAUUUGGAUGUCCAAUCAAUUUUUUUAAUUAAUUAAUUAAAAAGAAUUGUUUUAAUUCAAAAAAUCUAAAAGAAUUUGAUAAAAAAUGUGGAAGGGCACACUUGUAUGAUGAAUAGUAGUGAUAAUAAUGAUAGAAGUCGUUUUCCUAGCACAAGUAUGGGAUUCGUCCAUUUGGUUUUAUAUUUAUCCACUUGCCUGAGUGUUUAAGAGUUAAAAAGGACAAAACUAUUAAGUAGAAAACACCAAACGAAUUGGAAGGCUUUUGUCUUCUUCAAUUAGUAUGACCUAUAUUUCUUAUUAAACUUCGUAUUUUACAUUCAAUAUCAUCAUCGCAAUCAUUUUAAUUUAUUUUCAUGAAUAAACUUUUAUGUCCCAUUUUAAUUGAAUCAUUAAAAAUUAUUAAUUGAAUUUUUUUUAAGUCAAGUGAUACUAAUUUGAUUUUUUUAAAAAAGUUGUUUGAAUUAAUUUGAUUUCGUGUCAUAAUUGACAUAAAUGGCCAUUGUGAAUGGCAACAUCAAUAGUUAUUGAGUACAGCGGCUAAAAUUUUCAGUUAAAAAAAAAAGAAUGAAAGGAAAACAAAAAGAAAAACGUGGAAAGAAAGAAAGAAAGAAAGAAUAAUAAUAAUAAUAAUAAUAAUAAAUAAAAUAGAAUUGUGGGGGCGAUGCUUUUGAACAAAUCUUGAUUUAAACUAUAUAAAGAAAAUAUGUGUUAUAUAUAUAAUUAAUUAUGUACUUAUACUUAAUAUAUUAUAUAUCUAAUGUCAUAUUUUCAUAUUCUCAGGAAGUGGUGACAUACAAAUACUUGAUUCGAUUUAUUUCUUUAGCUCCCCGUGAAUUGUAUGUUUGUAACAUUAGGGAUAGAAUUUCUUCAAUUAUCCAAUUGACUGGACGUAUUGUGUCGAUUUUUUUUUAGUAAUAUACCUAGAAAUACCCGUUGAUUCUUUAUAAACGCUGUUUCGAACACAACUGGUACACUCUAAAAUAAUUUACUUGAACAUCAUUACUCUUAGCCAUGAACCUCCUUUGAGUUUUUAAUUCACCCAACUUUUUUAUUUUCCGAUCAAAAGCAAAGAAGAAAGGAAUGAAAAGAAAAGAAAGAAAUCAAAGUUGCUAACUCAAAACCAAAUCCUGAAAAUUUUCAUUUCAAUGAAUAUAGUAAGUAAAUAUAGAUUUAUAGUAAUAGCAAAUAAUAAGAAUUAAGUAAUAUAACGAUUUUUAAUUCUAUUUAGAAUCAAUUAAAAUAUUCAAAUAAAUAUUCAAUUAAAAUAAAUUAAACUGUAUAAAUUUUAUAAUUUUAAAUUAUUAUUUUUGUAUUAAUUUAAAAACAAAAUAAAUAUUAUAUACAAUGAUUUAGUUACAGCGUGUCAGCUUGAAGUCUAAGACUUUAUAACAUAUAAAUUUAAUAGAUAAUUAAUAACUAAAAAAUUAAAUAGCAAAAGCAUAAUUGCGCCACUUCUCACCAUUUUAAUGUAUGCAACUUAUUAUAUAUUUAUAUAUAUUAUCAUUUUAUUUUAAAUAAUUUAAUUUUAUAAAUUUAGGGAUAAAUCUCAAAAUUAUACAUGAACUUUAAUUUAAUAUGCAAUUGUAUAUAUAAACUUUAAUUUGGUACAAUUAUACACGUGAUACUUUAAUUGUGGUUUAAAUACUCACUUGAAACUUUAGUUUUGAUUUAAUAAUGCAUAUUUAAAUAAAUAAAUACAUCAAUUUUUUUAUAUUGGGUAAAUAUAAUUAUUUAUGUAUGCAAUAUAUAACAUAAAAUGAUGUUAUAUCAAUAAUUGUGUUAAUAAUUUUCAAGAAUUGGAUCAAAUCAAAAUUUCAUGUAUAAAAUUGAACAAAAUCAAAGUUAAUGUAUACAAUUGCACAUUAAACCAUAAUUCAUGUAUAUUUUUUUGUAUAUAUCCCAUAAAUUUAUUUCAUUAACUUUUUACCUAUAUCAUAUAUAGAGUUGUUCGUGAACCGAGCCAAGGAAUGCCUGCUCGAAAAAAUGAGAGGGUUUGGCAAAAAAAUAUAUGCCUAAAAAAUGGGCUUGGAUAAAAAGACAAGGCCCGUUUAGAAAAUGAACCGGCAUUGAGUAGGGUUUUUUUGUCCGGGCUCAGCCUAACCCGAAUUUUCAAUUAAAAAAAACCUUGUUGUUUUUGCUGCUAUUUUUCCAUAUCUUGGUGUUGUUUUCUCACUUUUUGCCGCUAUUUUACUACCAUUUCACUAUUAUGUUACUACUAUUUUUUUUAAUGUUUGGAUAUAGUAUAAUAAUUGUUUUAUUGUUAAUUUUAUCACUAUUUUAGAGACAUUUGUUUGUUAUGUUGUACUUAUUUUAGUUUUUAUUUAAGUAUAAAAAAAUUUAAAAUUUAUUUUCAAUUUAUUGAUAAACAUGUAAUUUAAUAUUUUCAGUGUAUUUAUUGUAUUAUAUUUGUUAAAUUUAUAUAAAAUUAAAAUUAAAAAAAUAUGGACCGAGAUGGGAGUUUAACAAAAAUUUAGGCCCAUUUUUCAAGUCGGGCCGAUCUCAAACCUAACAAUCGGACUUAAAAUUUUGUUAGAGCUCGGCCCAUCCCAUGAACAACUCUAAUUAUAUAUAUAUGUCAUUCUCUAAUAAUAAUAAUAAUAAUAAUAAUAAUAAGUGGAUAACAUAAAACUAGUAGUAAAGAGUAAGAAGACAAAGAAGAAUUAAGUGGAUAACAUAAAACGUGCGAAAACAUUUAUCUUCAAUUCUGACACAUAAAGCUAGUAUUUUUGGGUAAAGUAUAGAAAUGGUGAUUAAAUUAUUGUUGAUGUUCUAUUUUAAUUUUUAAUUUUUCUAUUUUAGUUAUUAAAUUAUUUGAAAUUAAAUUUUUUGGUUAUCAAAGGUUAACAGUAGUUUGAAAUUUAACAGAAAUAUUGAUGUGAACUUUUCUUAUUGAUUUAAUAAUAAAUUUAGCCUUCUAAUAUUUAUAUAUUCUAUUAAUUUGAUACUAAAUAUAAAAAUUUAACAAAUUUAACCUUCAAUAUUUACAAAUUUUGUUAUUUUAAUUCAAAUUCUAAAAAAAAUUUAAUAAAUUUAACCCUCAACAUUAAAAAAUUUGAUAAAUUUCAAUUUUUAAAAUUUUGUAAAUUCCUAAAAUAUAAAGCAUCAUUCUCCACCUCAUAGGAUUCCAUGUAAAUGGAUUUUCUUGAAUUCUUUACCAAGUUGUCUUGAGUUUAAUUUCUUCUUAUUUAGUUUGUGGAAUAAAUGGCAUAUAGUUAGAUGUCACUGCAGCUGACAAUGAAAGGUUUGACAAAGUUGAUAAAUUCAGAGCUUUUGAUGCUGAGCUUCAAAUCAGUCUUGCCUCCACUCACCCAAGAAAUCAACUUUACAAUUUUUAUUAAGUCUUAACUAGAUUAAUAUGAGUAUUGUUAUCAAUAUAGGAGAAAGUGAAUUUUAGUGCGUUGAAACACAUUAUCUUCUUAUUGAUGAAUUGAGGAGGGGCUAUGAAUAGUUUUAAAUAUUAUAUUAAAAAAGCAGAGAUAAUUGAAACCUACAAUAAUAUUGUUCAAAAAAAUUACCUAAAAACACGAAAUCUUACUCCCUGAAUUUUCUAGAAACACAAAUAUUUCUCCCUGCCUUUGAUGGUGUAUACAUGCAUGGCCAUGUGUGAGCUCCUGCAUUUUAACUAAUCAACACAGAUAAUACCCUCAAUGAGACAUUAAAAUUAACUUUUAUUUUUGUUUUUUCAUAAAUUUUAUAAUUUUGUAUUUCAAUGAAAAAAUCUAAAUCUAAGUUGAUCCGAGUCCAAAAAAAAAUCUGAAGCUGUAAAAAGUUUGAUCUGAGGCUGCUCAUUUGCCACCUCUAAUAACCAUUUGAUAGAGGUUUAAUAUAAAGGAAUUUAGAUUUUAGGAAUUUAUAAAAUUUUUAAAAUUAAUUUUUUAUUUGUAAAUACUAAGGGAUAAAUCUAUUGAAGUUUUUAAAAUUUGAACUGAAAUGUCAAAAUUUGUAAACAUUGAAGGCUAAAUUUGUUUAUUUUUUCUAUUUAAGACCAAUCUGAUAGAAUGUGUACACAUUAGAAGACUAAAUUUAUUAUUAGACCAAUAAAAAAAUGCCCAACUUAACGCUUUCUCAAAUUUCAAACCGAUGUUAAUAUUCAAUGACCAAAAUUUUUUAUUUCAAAUAGUUUAGUGACCAGAAUAGAAAAAAAAUUAAAAGUUUGAUGACCAAAAUAGAACGCGGAUAAUAAUUUAAUGAUAUUUUUAUACUUUAUCUGUUUUUUAUGAUUAUUUAUACAUAUCAAGUGGAGCUAAUUUAGGGAAAAGAAUCAAUGGUUAAGGUUGUUGUUGAUACUUAAUGAUCAGGGUCCAAAUUUUGCUAAUGUAAUUUUCCUUAUCAUAAUUUGUAUCUUAAUUUUGUUACCAAAAAAAUAUUAGUAAUAAAUAAUAUAUGCUCGAGAAAUGUACGUAUGAUUGAUUUAAACAAUACAUGUUGGAGUAAUUUACAUAUGGAUUUAAAAUAAAUUUUAAAAAUAAAAUAAAAUUUUAAAAAUCCAAAAGUAUUUUUUCUUUUAAAAAAAUUUAAAAAUAAUUUUUAAAUUAUUUACAUGAUUGAUUUAAAGGAUUUCUUUCUAUUAAUUAUUUUUAUAUUAAAUUUAUUUUCCUUUAUGUAUAACAUUUAAAGGGUUUGUAUAUAUGCUAACUCGCGAGUCAAUUAAAAUUUGUAUUAUAUUCAUUGAAUUUUUUUAAAAUAUAUAUUUUAUUAAUUUAUUUAUUUAUUUGAGACCCAUGAUAAACUUGUAUUUAAAGUUAUUGGUGCACACUAUAAAUUCAUAUAUUGAAAAUGAUAGGUGCUAAAAGUAACAUGUUUUAGUCUCAUUCUUAAUGUGUUUUUGGAUGAUUAUUCGAUAUAAAAUGGUUAAUUUUAUGCUACUAAACUUUUCAAUUUACGUUCUACACUUAAUAGAGCAUUUAGGAGCAAAAGAAGCGAAAAACGAGCGAAAAUAAAAAAAAUAGGAGCAAGUCUCAAAAGCCACACAGGCUGAGCCAUUCCACACGGGUUGGACACAUAACCGAGUGAGCCACACGACCAUGUGCUAGACUGUGUGGAAAUCGCAAAUUACACUCCAAACGGCGUGAAAACACGUUAAUUUUAAGGUUUUUUAAGCAUUUUAAUACCUAUACAUGACAAAGAUAAGAAGAGGGGAGAGAGUCGUCAGAAAAUAUUAAAGAAAACAACUUAAAAAACACCAUUGAAGCUAACUUUGAAGCAAAUUUUCAUCAAGAUUGAAGAUCUCAUUUUGAUUUUUUUGAAGUUUAUUAUGAGUUUCUUUAUUUAUUGUAGUUAUACUGUCUUUAGGAUGUUUUUAUUUGCUAUCAUGAACGAAUUUUCUAAAUACCUAGGGAGAUGAAUCCUAUCAUGAAUUAUGUUAUUUGAUUUCUAUUUUUACGUAAUAAAGACUUAGAUCUUAUUCUCAAUUAUGUGUGCUUAAUUCUUGGUUUAAUAUUUCUAGACUAUUAAUCAAUGUUUGAUGUGCUUAAAUCAGAGGAGGAAUAAACCCUAUUUAAGAGUAGAUCUAGCGUAAAUGAGUGGAGUUGCAUGCAAUCCUAGAAAUAGGACAACAUAAAUCUACCGUAAUAGAUCCAAAUCUAAUAGGGGAAUCUAUAGAUCGAGUUAAUACGAUGAUAGAGGUUUUAAUUAGAAAUAAAUUUCAGUUAAUUAACCUAGAGUCAGUUACUCUUAGUCUUGAAGAGAUAUAUUAGCAUAAUUUAGGGAUUUUUACAGAUCAAUAUUCUAAGUGACGAAGUUGUGUAAUAUAGAUUGAUAAUGACAUAUGAAGUCUAGGUAGAUUCUUUCCUAGGUAUUGUCUCGCUCUUGGUUAUUAUUUGAUUAUUUUCUUGAUUUGUGCUUUGUUGUGUUAUUUAGUUAACUAAUUUAGUUAAUUUUAGUUCCAACCAAUCACUCCAAUUUAUCAGUUAAAUAAUAGAAAAGACGGUAAUUACUGGUACUUUUAGUCUUUGUGAAAACGAUAUCUUUGCUCACUAUAACUAUACUAUUAAUUGAUGUGCACUUGUCUGAGUUAGAUUUUUAGUUGGUUUACGACUGCAAUCAAAAAACUCAUUAAGUUAGCACAAACUAAGUUAAUUAUUCGUUGGUUGCUUUAUUUUUUUUCCUGAAGUUUCGAUUUCAUCUUUCAUUAUGUACAACAAUUUUGGUAUAAAAAUAUCAAAUUCUCGACACUUAAUAUAUACCUUUGAAAUAUAAACACAUGCAUCAAUUUUUUUAGGUUCCUCACAACUUACUUGUCCAAAAUUCUUGUAUCUUUCAGUUCUCCUGAUUGAAUCAAAAUUUGACUUUGUAAUUAUUUUUUAAGGACCUCAAACUAUCAAUUUAUAGUAUAAAUUUUCAAUAGCUUUCAUUCUUUACAAAUUGGUCCCUAAUUAAUCAACAAUGGUAUUAAAGCUUAAGCUUAGGGUCCCGUUGUUUCACUGAAAAUGGCUUUCGAAAAAUAAUUUCUAGAAAAUGACUUACUUUCCUAGAAAAGUUAAUAUUUUCUGAUGUUUGGAUGAAUCAGUGUAAAAUAUUUUAUAUUGUUUGACAAAUUUCUUAAAAAUAUUUCAUAAAAGCUGUUUUCAAUGAAACAAACAUGCAUUUGAGAUUUUCUUAUCUUUUCAUUGUUUAAUUAAGUUUAUCUUAUAUCUAUAAAUUUAUAUUUUACAUUUUUUUGCAUAUAAUAAAAAUAUAUAUUUUUUAAUUCAGGUUCACUACCAUGUCACUUUUUAGUUACAUGACUACCAAGUGAGUAUUUUUUUUAUUUAAAAAUGUGACAUCAACAAAAUUGACAAAAAAAAAAUUUAGCAAUGUCAACAAUUGGACUUGAUUUUCAAAUCUGAAAAGUAGAGGGACUAAAUUCUUGAAAAUAAAAGUAUAGAGACUAAAUUGAAAAUUUGUGAAGAAUACAUAGACUUAUCACAUUUUUUAACUUUUAUACUACAAAAUAUUUAUCAUUAAUAUAUUUAUAAUUAUAAUAAAUAUUUAUUAUUAAAAUAUUAAUAUUAAAUAUUUUCAAUAAGAAGAAUAUUAUUUAAAAUUAUUUUUUUUAAUUUUUUAUUAAAAUAAAAUUGAAAUAUUAAAUAAUUUAUUAAAAUAAUUAAUUUUAUUAAUAAUUAAUUUUAUGACUAAAUAUAAAUAAUUAAAUAUGUGUGUUUAAUAAUAUUGAAAUAUAUAAUAUUUUAUAUUAAUAUUUUAAAUAUUUUUAAAAAUAAAAAUAAAAUUUAUUUUCAAUAUAAUAAUAUUAAUAUUGAUUUAAAUGAAUUUUUAUAUAAAAAUAAAAUUACCUAUAGAUGAGCUCUUUUCCAGAAAAUGACUUACACUUUUCAAAAGGAUAAGUCAUUUUAUAGGAAAAAGAGUUCAAUUUUACAUUGACCUGUAAGUCAUUUUCCGAUGACCAAAAUGUUUUCUGUAAAAUAAACAUAAGAAAAUGAAGAAAAUAUUUUCCGUAAAACCUUUUACAUGUAAACAAACGGACCCUUAAUUCAAGCUUGUUCUAACAUAACCCACUUCACUAUUAGCAUGACUCUUCCUUAUACUAUGUUUAACCAUUAACCCUUCUCAUGAUUUCUAACAAAAAUUCUCUAAGUUCUCUUUAAUGGAAACUUCUAUUAGCUUCAACAAUAAGAAAUUCUAACCAUUGGGUUGGUUGUAUCAAGUUUCAUAGUUUAAAAAACUAUAAAAAAAUUAUUUAGAAAACAAUUUGUUUACCUUUGAUGGCCUUGAUGGAGAACAACUUGGUUUCUUCUUCUACUUAGUUUAAAGAAUGCAUGAAGAAGAAGAAGAUUUCCCCUCUCCCUCUAUCUUAAAUAUAUAUAUAAAUAACCUAUUAAUCAAGGUAAUUAACUCACUAAUUAAUCUUAAUUAGUUAUGAUCUAAUGGCCAUAAACUUACCAUAAGAAAAUUAGUGGAAAUGUGUGGCAUUGAUAAUGGUUUGCCAAUAAUCAAACUUCGGGCAUGGUAAUAUUGCAAUCAGGUCCUUGGUUUAAUUACACUUUAAGUACUUGCUAAAUUCUCUAAUCAAUUCCCACUAGUUGGAUCACUUGAACAAUUGGGUCCAUGUAUUAUAGUUACAACUUAUCUAAUUUAAUCAAUUAAUGAUUUGACUUUAUAAUUUCAUGUGCAACACACAAACUCCUCCGGUAAAUUCUCAAGCUAGCUUUAUUUAAAAAUUUGGCCUCAAAACCAGCUUUCCAAAUGUUCAUGAAAAUUGAGUUGUUACAUUAUGGUAUUUGUUUUGUUCAGCUUAUUUGUCAAGCUCUAUUCCUUUGAACUUAUGUUCGUUGACUUUGGUGUUGCUUAAAUGAAAAUGUGGUGAACAAUAUUAUGGAUAGGAGGAGUGUAUGAUUGAGUAUGUGUAACACCCCUAACCCACAUCCUUCGCCAAAUUAAAGUGACAGAGUGUUAUUAUUCAAAACAGAACAUUCCAUGACAACACAUAAACAAUUAUGCAAAUUAUCACAAUCAUUAAUUAACCAUAUUAAAAUAUAACAUAAGUAUCCAUACGACCUUUAAAUCGAGCUUAUAUGGCCUUAAAAAUAGCUUGGGAUCAAUCUAGGAUCAAUUUGGAACAUAACAUAAAUUUUAAGAAAAAUCUAAAAAUUUUGGGAAACAUGGGUCACACAACCGUAUGUCCAGGCCGUGUGACAUAGCCCAGACCUUGUGGGAAUUCAAAAUCAGGACACUCAAUCAUGUCCUAGCCCGUAUGUCUACCUGUGUGAAUAUUUGAAAUAGGGUCCCACAGUCGUGUCGCGGCCAUGUGCUAAACCGUGUAUAUAUUCAAAUUAUGAACACAUGGCCGUGUCGCAAGCCAUGUGCUAGACCGUGCUCAAAACUAUUUUGAGACACACAGCUGUGCCUUAGGCUGUGUGAAAUUUUCACUUUAGACAACGACACACAGCCGUGUGCCAGACCAUGUACACCAAAAUGUACCUUAAAAAUCAAAUUUACCAAAACAUGUUUACUUAGGCAUCAAGCAACCUAAUUACCAUCAAUCAAACUCAUUCAAAACACAAUUAAACAGGUUCAAAACAUCCAUCCUAAGUGCCUAGCCAUUGUGCCCUCAUUGACAUCAUAAUUCAAUAAUCAAAUCAAUCACAUUUAAACCAAGAUUUAAACAUUCAAAUUAUAAAAUCAUCAUUAACCAUUCAUACCAAAACACUGAUCAUUUCAAGUCAUAAACACCUAGCAAUAUUCACAUACUUUAUAAAGCUUAACUACCAAUACCAAAUAAGAUCCAUACACACAUACAUACCAAACAAAACACAUAUUCACAAGUAUCAUUCAAGAUUUACAACUUUACAUGUAAUUAACAUAAUUUCAAGUCAAUUAUUACAUGUCAUACAACCCAAAACAAACACUAAACAAACUACCAAUAGUUUCUCGAAUAGUGUGAUUCUUGAAAUCAAAUUGAUCACCCGAAGCGUCAAAAAUAAAUCUACAAGAAAGCAUUGGAAGAGACACAAGAGUAAGCUUACUUAAGCUUAGUAAUUUCCAUGGAUUUAAACAAUCAACUUACCGGAUAAACUUAUCUAAUAUAGAGUAUAGAAAAGUCAUAAAUCAUAAUCAUGUCAUCCAUAAUCAGAUCACGAGUGAGUCUUAAACUUAAAUAUGAAUGAAUUAAUUCAAUCAAUUACAUUAUAUCACUAAAUUAUACCCGAUGAACGUUGCAAUGGAUUUGGAUACACAGUUAACCAACCAAACACUCCAAAUCACUCAAAUGAGCUAGCCAUCUGAAAGUACACAUGGGCACCAAGUGCCAAGCCCAUAGGCUAACAUCCCUCCGAAACACACCUUGUCACCAAGUGCCAAGCCCGUAAGCUUUACAUCUGCCCCAGAAACACACCUGAAGCACUGCAAUAUAACGUAAUAGUUCGCAACAAAUGUUGAACUUCAAUAUAUUCAAUAAACAUGAAUAAGAUCAGAAUCAUCAUCUCCACAUCCACCAAUCUCGUAAAGCGCACGAUAUAACUUAUUGACAUGCCAAUUGUAUCCUAUCAUACAUUCAUCGGCUCACAUAUUUGUCAUUUAACAACAUUUAAUACAAUUUCUUUCCCAAAUCAUUUCACUUACCACAAUUCAAUACUUCCAUGUCAUUUAAUAAUUUCAAUCCACAAGUAAUUAAAUAUUUAAAUUAUACUAAAAUUAAACUGUACAAACUCACUAGGGCCAAAUUGCAGAAACAACAAAAGUUCAGGGACUAAUCAACAACCUUCCCUUUUUCCACAAUUAUCAACUUGAUCUUGAUCUAUAAUAUAAUUUAUUUCAAUUAUUAGCCUCAAUUUUCAUAUUCUAAUCAUUUCAAAACAUAUGAUCUCUUAUUUAUAAAUUUACACAUUUAUCCCAAAUUUUUACAUAUUAUACAAUUUAAUCCCUAUGACCAAAUCAAGCUUAGUUCUACAAUUAAAUUCUCAAUCCAUAGAACUAAAUUUUAACCACAUCCAAAACAAUCCAUAUAUGCUAAAAUUUUCAAGAGUAACAUGUCUAUUUCAGUUAAAUCACUAAACAUCAAAUUUUGUAAAAAUCACUUACAAACUCAAUACAUAUGGUCACCAAGCUUCAACCCAAACUAUUUACUACUACAAAUCUUCGAAAAUUUCAAUACAUAAUUUCUAUACUUUGAUAACUUCACAAAUAAACUCCAAAACUAGCUAAAUUCCAUUAUCAAUAGCUCAAAACUUAAAAUUUGAUGAUGAAUAAACCAAGAAAAUACUUACAUGCAUUAAAAACUAACAAAAACCAAGAUCCAAGCCUUAGAACAAUGGUGUUUCGGCCAAACCUAAGAAAAAUAAAGAAGAUGACCACUACCCCACUUUUGUUUUACUUUCCUUUUAUUAUUAUAAUAAUCUUUAUUUAUGAAAUUAUAACAUUAUAAAACACCAAUUUAAUUUUUUUUCUCUCUUUACCGCCCAUAUUAACUAACUAUGGGCUAAUGGCAACAUAACCUCCCUUAGUUUACUAAUUUAAGCUAUUAUAUUAAAAUAAAUCUAUAAUAAGCAACUUUUCCACCUAUUACAUAUUAAUCUUUUUUCUUUAAUCAAUUCACUAUACGUUAAAUUUUCUAAACCAAAACUUAAUACGACACUGAUGACUUUGUAAAUAUUAAAUAAUUAAUAAUUCUAGACUGACACGUCGAAAGUGUAGUCCUAAAACUAUUAUUUUCGACACCACUGGAAAUCGAACUGUUAUAGUAUGAUUCUACCUCUUAGGGGGAGACGUAUUCUAGUUUCCUUUGACUUGUUUAGAUGAUGUGUUAAUCAUUUGCUACUGGUUUUGUCAAAAUGCCAAAUGGUGAGAUUGUUUCAAACUUUGUUCAUGUUCGAACAUUAGAUUAAACAAUGCUUAAUUUGAUGCAUUCAAAGAAUUUAUGUUGGCAUGUUUGACUUUAUAAUGAAAUGGCUUAUGAUUUAAUCUCGUUGAGUAGCAAAUGGGGAAGUGAUUUUGUGUUAUAACAUGUGAUGAUCAUUAUCUUUCAAUCAACUACCUUGAAGAAGAAUGGGAGGAGUUUGAACUUUUGUGGACUUUCGUAAUAUUUGAAGCUGCUAAGAUACUUGUUUAUAAAGACUUUUAUGAUAUAACUAAUCAAAAUAAUUCAUGUCAGAAUUUUUGGAGUUUUAAACUUAUGAAGACUCUAGUAUUGGCCUAUAAAUAGGCAUAAUUACCGCACAUUGAAAAUAGGCUUUUGGAGGGUUUAAGUUGGAUGCUUUGGUGAAUUUUUCCUGUGUUUUAUACAACACUCUUUUUUAAGUUUUUAUUGGGGGAUAUUUGCUUGAUUGUAAGUGAGAUAUUUUGGAGAGAGUGAUUUGUAAUAAUUUAGGUUCAAUAUUGAAGUUGCAAAUAACUACAAGGUAAUGGUAAUUUGGACUCUAGUCAAUAGUUAAUCAAGACGAAUUGUAAAUAAAAAUUAUUUUUUAAGUGAAACUUUACAGAAUAAAACUAGUGAACUCAAACUACGCUAACAAAUAUUAUAUACUAUCUUUCCUUACUUUACUCGUUGCUUUACCUUAUUUUAAAAUUGCUUUGUCAUAAAUGUAUUAUGUUUGACCCUUUCCGAUCGAAAUAAAAAAAUGAGAUUGAAAUUGUGAUAAAGCUAAAAAAAAGUUACAACAAAUAUGAUUAAUAUUAUUUUUAUAUAUACUUACUAAAAUUUAAAAAGGAAUUACAUUUAUCGAAUAUUAUUUUAUUUAAUAAAUAUAAUUAAUAUAUUUUAUAUAAAAUUUAAACUUUUUAUUAUUUGUUAGCUAAAUUUUAUUAUUUUUAUUUUCUUUAUGAAUAAAAUUAAUUUUCCUAAAAUUUGAGAUAAAAAAAUGUUAUAUAGAAAAUUAAAUUAGUAAAAAGUGCAGUUCAUACUUUAUAAUUAUUAUAAAUGAAAAAAUAUUAUAAAAGAUAAAUAUUAAACAUAAAAAAAUCAAUUCUAAAAUAAACUUAACUAUUAUAAUAAAAUAUUUUUAUAUAAAAAAGAAAUUAUAGAAAAGACUUACUGAUUAUAUUUCCAAUUUUCGACAUUCAUAAAAAAAAAGUGGUCCUAAUAAUUUAUUUAUACAAAAAAAAAAGUGGUCCUAUUAAUUAACCUCACAUUUGAAAUGUGUUAUAUGUAAUAAUAUUAAUAUCUUUAUCAAUUUUGGAGGUUCAUCCUUUCCCAUCUCUAUAAAUUCGCAUGGAGAAAUAAAGCAAUACAUCAACACAAUCUGUAUAACCAUGAAAACCACAACAGCUUCAGUGUUUCUUCUUUUCAUCAUCUUCUCAGUCACACCAUCAUCCUUUUUGUUUGGUGUAGCCAACGCUACAAACGAACCUGUACUCGACUUUGAUGGCAACGAGGUUCAAACAGGCACCCCAUAUUACGUUGUGUCGUACAUAUGGGGUGCUGGUGGUGGGGGGCUUGACCUAGGCAGGCCUAGUGGAAACCCAUGCCCGGAAGUCGUUGCUCAAAGAGGAUCCGGUGACAAUGGUAUUCCGGUGAUAUUUUCUAAUUCGGACUCCAACGAUGGCGUUGUUCGCCUAUCCUCUGACAUAAACAUAGAGUUCAUUUCCCUCAGACCCAAACUUUGCCGAACAACAACAGUGUGGAAGGUCGAUGAUUACGACCAUUCAGCCGGAAAAUGGUGGGUGAUAACCGAUGGGGUUAAAGGGAACCCAGGUGCCAACACUUUGACCAGUUGGUUUAGAAUAGAGAAGGUGGGUACUGAUUUUCAAUAUUACACAUUUAAGUACUGCCCCGCAGUAUGUGGAACAUGCCCAGCCUUAUGCAACCAAAUUGUGAGAGACUUUGAUGGAGAAAUGGUACGUUUGGCUCUCACCACUGGCCAUGGAUGGCCAUUUAUCUUUAAGAAAGUUGGAAAAUCAGCCAUGGAGAUUGAACAAGUUGUUCAUAAUUAGAUUGAAAGCAAUCAUUAUGCAUGAACUAGUAGUUACUACAUAAUAUUAGCUUCAAGUAAAUAAUGCUGAGGGAACUUAUUGUUAAGAUUGCCUUGUUUGAAGCGGCAGCAUGUAUAUAUAUAUGCUUGCUUACAAGGUUUGUCUCUCAGAGUCCUCCUCUUUGUACUCUUUUCAGCUUAAUGAAUAAACUGUUUACUUAUUUACUUCUUUUGUUGCCAUUGAUUCUAGUAGCAUUCGACUCAUUAACUUGGAUACAUUACCUUGUAAUUAACCAAAAAGUUAUGUGUAUAUAUAUAAAGAGUGUGUGAGAGAAAAAAUAGAAUACCAAGUACCAAGUGAAAAAUGUUAAUACUAGGAUUAUUCAAAGCGAUUUCAAUGAACAGAAAUGGAAUAGUCGUCGGGUGGUUAGGGCAUUUUAUCUUUAGAGAUAAAGAAGGUUGGUUCAUGUUCGGAGUUUGUGGCUACUCCUUCAAUAAUAUCGUUUUUAAAGUUUAAACUUGUAUCACAUUUUAAACACGUAAUGUAUCUUACCAUUACAUCCAACAAUAUUAACCAUUUACUCUAUUGUAUUGUAUUGUAUUCUAUUAUUAAUUAAUGAUUAUGAUAUGUAUUAAGUUUAAGAUGAAUUUUCUCAGUAAUAUAUAUCAAUGGAAUCAAAUAUUUGUAUUUAAAGUUUUAACUCCACAUUAACUUUUUCUUUAUUUUGUCCGUUUGCUGGCGAUGAUUAGGAGAUUAAUGGUUGGUAUUUGUGGUUAGUAGGUUAUAACUCAAUAGUGAACUCGAGGGUUGAUAGUGGCCCGACUCCACUUAAAUAAAAAAUUUUACAUUUAAAUCUCUUUAUAAUUUAUAAAAUUUUAAAUUAAUAAUAAAAAAAUUAUAUUUUAACUCUCUAAAAUUAAUAAAAAUGAUAAAAAUGUAGAAGUAAAUUUAUACAAUUAAUGAUAAUAAUGAUAAGAAGUUGUUUCCUGUCACAUGGAAAUUUAUGGCAUCGUCCAUUUGGUUUUAUAUUUGUCCAUUUGCUUGGUUAAGAGUUGAAAGACAAACUAUAAUUAAGUAUACAAAACCAAACGAAUUUCAAGGGUUUUCUCUUCAAUUAUUGUCGAAUUUAGCUAAUUAUUAGUAAUUUUUAUUAUUUAAUUAUAAAAAUUAUAAAAUAAUGACUUAAUUAUAAGAAUUAUAAAAUAGUGACUUAAUUAUAAAAAUAUAUAUAAAUAGCCAUCUAAUUAUUUAAUUUUUUUUCUUUUUUAUCAUCACCGGAUUAAUGGUGGUAAUUUUUAUAAUUGACAUAAUAGUAACUUUAACCAUUAAUAAUUAUACAUUAUGUCAAUUUAGUCUUGAUUCUAAAAAAUUUAACCUUUGACAUUUACACAUAUAUAAUUUGACAUUUUUAUAAUUUUAUUUUUUACUAAAAAUAAAUCAUGAAAAUAAUAAAAUAUGCAUAAAAAUAAAAAUACAGCUACCGAGUAUAUGUCUUAAUGUAGAUUUAUAACAAUUAUCUUUUCAUAAAGAUAUUUUAUUAUAAAAUAUAUAAUAAGCACUUCCCUGUAACAAAUAAAAUUGUAGUAAACAAAUGAAAUUAUUAUAAAGAAGAAUUUUCUAUUUUCAUAAUAAUAAUAAUAAUAAUAAUAAUAAAAGAAAAGAAAAAAGUGGUUCUAUUAAUUCACCUCACAUUUGAAAUGUGUUAUAUGUAAUAAUAUUAAUGUCUUUAUCAAUUUUGGUGGUUCAUCCUUUCCCAUCUCUAUAAACACUACACCAGAAUAGGUUUUUAGCGGCGUUUUUUAGGCCUUUAGCGACGCUUAUUAACGCCACUAAAUCUAUUUCCGGCACUUACAAAAAAAAGCCGCUAAAGAUCAUGUUCUUUAGCGGCGCUUAGGAAAAAACGCCGCAAAAAAUCAUGUUCUUUAGCGGCGCUUAGAAAAAAACGCCGCUAAAGAUCAUGUUCUUUAACGGCGCUUAGAAAAAAACGCCGCUAAAGAUCAUGUUCUUUAGCGGCGCUUUGGAAGAAAACACCUCUAAAAGUAAUGUUCUAUAGCGGCGCUUGUUCAAAAACGCCGCUAAAAGUAGUGUUCUUUAGCGUCGCUUGUUUCACAAACGCCACUGUUUUGAUAUGACUUUUAGCGGCGCUUUUUUAAAAAAUGUCACUAAUUUUGGGAUUUUUUUAAAAUAAAAUUUUCUGUUUUUUUCAGCCCUCCUGCAACAACAAAUCAAAAGCAACCAGAUCUAAACUAACCAAAAAUAAUAAAUUUAUAUAAUAUUUCAAAUUAAAUGAAUAAAAUAAUAUUAAUUGAUAUAAAUAAAAGUGAAUUUCAGACUUUUCUUUACAAAAACGUUAAAAGUAUUUAUGCAACAUACACUAUGACGGCGGAAGUUGCGACUGCUGAAACAUCUUCAUCAUAAUCUAAAGCUGCUGUUGAAGUUCGUCGUACUUUUUGCUCUACUUUGCUUCUCUCGAUGCCGCAUCUUUUUGAAGCCGUAGCUGUAGUUCUUCACAUUUCUUUUGAACCUCUGCUUCUAUCGCUGCUUAUCUCGCUACGGCAUCUGCUUCCCUCACUGCUGCCUCUGAUUUAAGUUGUUGCUGAAGUUCUUCAUAUUUCCUUUGAACCUCAAAUGUGGUCGCUUGCAUCUGAGUCAUCUAGUCUUUUAACCUCUGAACUUCAGCUUGAGACUGACUCCCCGAAGCCAUGUAUUGGUGCGAGCUGGAUCCAAAAUAUUGGGUUGGGCUGAUAAAAGAUCCUUGAAAUCGAACCCGACCAUACUUUUCAGGACCCAAAACUUUAGUAAUAAUCCGGUUAUCAAUGUCUUCAAGAUGAAUAGAACUAUCACUAGAAGCAAUCGUUUCGUACUCUGUCUUUUUUUCCUUCAGUUUUUCCUAAUAAAUAAAUCACAUAGUUAGGAACGCAAUAUAUAGUAAAAAAAACAAAUGCAAUAUAACAAUAGUCGCAUUACAAGCAAUGAAUUAAACCAUUAGAAAAUAAACACUAUAAAUAACUAAAACAAGUGAAAUCGUAUUAAGUAAACGUACCAUAAUUUCACCAGCUUCAGGAGUCAUAGCAGAUCCAUCUUUCUUCUUAUGUGUAAUUUCAAAAAGUUGAAGGCGUCCAACUUUUUGAUCGGACGACCGUUCCUACAACACUCUUUUUUAAGUUUUUAUUGGGGGAUAUUUGCUUGAUGUAAGUGAGAUAUUUUGGAGAGAGUGAUUUGUAAUAAUUUAGGUUCAAUAUUGAAGUUGCAAAUAACUAUAAGGUAAUGGUAAUUUAGACUUUAGUCAAUAGUUAAUCAAGACGAAUUGUAAAUAAAAAUUAUUUUUUAAGCGAAACUCUACAGAAUAAAACUAGUGAACUCAAACUACUGAACUCAAACUACGCUAACAAAUAUUACAUAUUAUCUUUCCUUACUUUACUUGUUGCUUUACCUUAUUUUAAAAUUGUUUUGUCAUAAAUGUAUUAUGUUUGAACCUUUCCGAUCGAAAUAAAAAAAAUGAGAUUGAAAUUGUGAUAAAGCUAAAAAAAGGUUACAACAAAUAUGAUUAAUAUUAUUUUUAUAUAUACUUAAUAAAAGUUAAAAAGGGAAUUACAUUUAUUGAAUAUUAUUUUAUUUAAUAAAAUAUAAUUACUAUAUUUUAUAUAAAAUUUAAAUAUUUUAUUGUUUGUUAGUUAAAUUUUAUUUUUUUUUAUUUUCUUUAUGAAUAAAAUUAAUUUUCCUAAAAUUUGAGAUAAAAAAUGUUAUAUAGAAAAUUAAAUUAGUAAAAAGUUAAAAAAAUCAAUUCUAAAAUAAACUUAACUAUUAUAAUAAAAUAUUUUUAUAUAAAAAAAAAGAAAUUAUAGAAAAGACUUAUUGAAUAUAUUUCCUAUUUUCGACAUUCAUAAAAAAAAAAAAGUGGUCCUAAUAAUUUUUUUAUACAAAACAAAAAAAAGUGGUCCUAUUAAUUUACCUCACAUUUGAAAUGUGUUAUAUGUAAUAAUAUUAAUAUCUUUAUCAAUUUUGGAGGUUCAUCCUUUCCCAUCUCUAUAAAUUUGCAUGCAGAACUAAAGCAACACAUAUCAACACAAUCUGUAUAACCAUGAAAACCACAACAGCUUCGGUGUUUCUUCUUUUCAUCAUCUUCUCAAUCACACCAUUGUCCUUUUCGUUUGGUGUGGCCAACACUUCAAACGCUCCUGUGCUCGACAGUGAUGGCAACGAGCUCCGCACAGGCACCCCAUACUUCGUUGUGUCGUCGAUAUGGGGUGCUGGUGGUGGGGGGCUUGCCCUAGGCAUGCCUAGAGGAAAGCCAUGCCCGGAAGUCGUUGCUCAAAGAGGAUCUGGUGACGAUGGUAUUCCGGUGAUAUUUUCUAAUUCGGACUCCAACGAUGGCGUUGUUCGCCUAUCCUCUGACAUAAACAUAGAGUUCAUUCCCCUCAGACCCAGAUUUUGCCAAACAACAACGGUGUGGAAGGUCGAUGAUUACGACCACUCAGCCGGAAAAUGGUGGGUGAUAACCGAUGGGGUUAAAGGGAACCCAGGUGCCAACACUUUGACCAGUUGGUUUAGAAUAGAGAAGGCGAGUCAUCUUGAUUACACAUUUAAGUACUGCCCCGCAGUAUGUGGAACAUGCCCGGCUUUAUGCAACAAAAUUGCGAGAGACUUAGAUGGAGAAAUGAUGCGUUUGGCUCUCUCCACUGACCAUGGAUGGCCAUUUUUCUUUAAGAAACUUCAAACAUCAGCCAUGGAGAUUGAACAAGUUGUUCAUAAUUAGAUUGAAAGCAAUCAUUAUGCAUGAACUAGUAGUUACUAUACAAUAUUAGCUUCAAGUAAAUAAUGCUGAGAGAACUGAUUGUUAAGAUUGCCUUGUUUGAAGCAGAAGCAUGCAUAUAUAUAUGCUUGCCUACAAGGUUUGUCUCUCAGAAUCCUCUUUGUACUCUUUUCAGCUUAAUAUAUAAACUGUCUACUUAUUUACUUCUUUUAUUAAUGUCAUUGAUUCUAGUAGUAUUAGACUCAUUAACUUGGAUACAUUGUCUUGUAAUUAACCCAAAAAUUAUAUAUAUAUCAAAAAAAAAAAUGAGAGUGAGAGAGGAAAAUAGACUACCAAGUAACAAGUGAAAAAUGGUAAUACUAGGGUUAUUUAGAGUGGUUUCAAUGCACAACCGGAAUGAAUUGUUACCUUAUCUUUAGAGUCAAAGAAGGGUUCGUGACUAGUCUUUCAACAAUACUAUUUUCAAGGUUCAAACCUGCAUUAUCCUUUAAAUACGUAAUGUAUUUUAUCAUUACGCUCAAUAUUAUUAGUGAUUUACUUUAUUCUAUUCUUAAUUAAUAAUUAUGAUAUAUAUAAAGUUUAAGAUGGAUUUUCUUAUUUAUGUAUAUCAAUUAAAUCAAAUAUUUGUAUUUAAAGUUUUAACCCAACAUUAACUUUUUUUUUAAAAAUUUCUUCGUUUGUUGGUGGUGAUUAGGAGAUUGAUGGCCGGUCUUUGUGAUUGGUAGCUUUUAACACAAUGGCGAAGCUAAGGAGGCUUUAAAUGUUUAAAUGAAUAUUUUUUUCAAUUGAAAUUUCUUUAUAAUUUAUAAAAUUUUAAAUUAAUAAUGAUAAAAUUACAUUUUAAUUUUUUAAAAAUGAUAAAAACGUGGAAGCACAUUUGUACGAUUAAUAAUAAUGAUAAUAUUUUUCCUACCACAUGGAAGUUUAUGGAAACACCAUUGGGUUUUGUAUUUAUGUUUUAUUCGACACUCUUAUAAGUUUUACUGGGGAGAUUUGUUUGAUUGUAAGUGAGGUAUUUUGCGGAGAGUGAUUUAUAAUAAUUUAAAAUUAAUAUUGGGGUUACAAAUAACUAUGGGAGUAAAGUAGUUUAGACUUUAGCUAAUAAUUGAUCAAGAUGGAUUGUAGAAUAAAAUCAUUUUCGAAGCAAAAUUUUAUAAAAUUAGUAAAUCUGAAUUAUUCUAUAAUAUUGAUAUUAUCUUUCUUCACUUUAGCCCUUGCUUCACCUUAUCUCAAAAUUAUUCUAUAAUAAUCUAUUUUGUCUCAACCUUUUCAACAGAAUUUAAAAUGAAACUAUUUCUAUGAAGUGCAAACCAAAAACUUUUUCACAUACCAAUAAAUGGCAAGCAACCAUACCGUGGGCCCAAUGUCCCAACAAUCAUCUAAACAUUUUUUUUUUCUUUUUUAAAUAAUAUGUAAUAAUUUAUAUACCAUAAAUGAAUAUUAAUUAAAAUAAUAUAAACAAAAUACGACUCUUUAAUAUAAUAUGGAUCCAAAAUGUUUCAUAUUUGAAAUGCAGUUUUUGAUAAUUUCACAUUUCAUAUUUUAUCUUAGAACAAAAAGAAAAUUUGAACUUAAUAUUUGGACUAUUGAUCAAUGGUGUUUAUUAUAUUUCAAGACUAUCAGAUUAAUCUGUCGAUACUACUUAUAUGGUAUGGUUUAAAUGGGUGUGUGUGGAUAUAGAAAUUUGAAAUUCUAUUGUAUCAAAGAAAUUUUUUUUAAAAAUAAAAUAAAAAGGAAUUUGAAAUUUAAAAUUUGAGAUCAAAAUAAAAAAAAUGAGACUUGUUAUAAACCAUAAGGCUCAAAAAAGGUUACAACAAAUAUGGUUAAUAUUAUUUUUAUAUAUACUUAAUAAAAGUUUAAAAUAUCAAAUUUGUAAUAUUAUUUUUAUUUAAUAAAAUAUAAUUAAUAUAUUUUAUAUAAAAUUUAAAUAUUUUAUUGAAAUAUUAUGUUAGGUAAAUUUUAUUAAUUUUAUUUUCUUUAUAAAUAAAAUUAAUUUUAUUAAAAUUUGAGAUAAGAUAAUUAAAUUAAUAAAAGGUAUACUUCAUAUUUUAUAGUUAUUAUAAAUAAAAAAUUAUUAUAAAAAUUAAAAAAAAAGAAUUCUACAACAUAAUGAAAUAUUUUUAUUAAAAAAAACAGAAAUGAUUGAUGGAAUAUAUUUCCAAUUUUCGACGUUCAUUAAAAAAAAAAGAGUGGUCCUAAUAAUUGAUUUAUUGGGGAAAAAAAAGUGGUCCUACUAAUUUACCUCACAUUUGAAAUGUGUUAUAUGUAAUAAUAUUAAUAUCUUUAUCAAUUUUGGAGGUUCAUCCUUUCCCAUCUCUAUAAAUUCGCAUCGAGAAAUAAAGCAAUACAUCAACGCAAUCUGUAUAACCAUGAAAACCACAACAGCUUCAGUGUUUCUUCUUUUCAUCAUCUUCUCAGUCACACCAUCAUCUUUUUUGUUUGGUGUAGCCAACGCUACAAACGAACCUGUACUCGACAUUGAUGGCAACGAGGUUCAAACAGGCACCCCAUAUUACGUUGUGUCGUCCAUAUGGGGUGCUGGUGGUGGGGGGCUUGCCCUAGGCAGGCCUAGCGGAAACCCAUGCCCGGAAGUCGUUGCUCAAAGACGAUCCGGUGACGAUGGUAUUCCGGUGAUAUUUUCUAAUUCGGACUCCAACGAUGGCGUUGUUCGCCUAUCCUCUGACAUAAACAUAGAGUUCAUUCCCCUCAGACCCAAACUUUGCCGAACAACAACGGUGUGGAAGGUCGAUGAUUACGACCAUUCAGCCGGAAAAUGGUGGGUGAUAACGGAUGGGGUUAAAGGGAACCCGGGUGCCAACACUUUGACCAGUUGGUUUAGGAUAGAGAAGGCGGGUGAUCUUGAUUACACAUUUAAGUACUGCCCUGCAGUAUGUGGAACAUGCCCAGCUUUAUGCAACAAAAUUACGAGAGACUCAGAUGGAGAAAUGGUACGUUUGGCUCUCUCCACUGGCAAUGGAUGGCCAUUUUACUUUAAGAAAGUUGGAAAAUCAGCCAUGGAGAUUCAACAAGUUGCUCGUAAUUAGAUUGAAAGCAAUCAUUAUGCAUGAACUAGUAGUUACUACAUAAUAUUAGCUUCAAGUAAAUAAUGCUGAGAGAACUUAUUGUUAAGAUUGCCUUGUUUGAAGCGGCAGCAUGUAUAUAUAUAUAUGCUUGCUUACAAGGUUAAUUUGUCUCUCAGAGUCCUCUUUGUACUCUUUUCAGCUUAAUGAAUAAACUGUUUACUUAUUUACUUCUUUUGUUGCCAUUGAUUCUAGUAGCAUUCGACUCAUUAACUUGGAUACAUUACCUUGUAAUUAACCAAAAAGUUAUGUAUAUAUAUAUAUAUAUCAAAACAAAACAAAAAAGAGAGUGAGAGAGGAAAAUAGACUACCAAGUACCAAGUGAAAAAUGGUAAUACUAAAUUUCCAGAUAUAUGGCAUUGUUUGUGUGUGACAAACACCAAGUAUAAAUAGGUGGAAGUAUGACUACUUAUCAAGAGUGGUAUGGUUCAAAAACUACCCCUAUCGAAUUAUUUCAUCCUACUCAUUCGUUAUCGAUAGGAAGAAGGAUACUUCCAACAAGAAAUAUUUUGAAGGGUUAGUGUUGAGUUAGCUAAAAAUCAAAGUUUAUCAGAAGCUCGAUCUAAAAUUCGCCAAAAGGAGGAUUAUUCAAAGCGAUUUCAAUAGACAACGGGAAUGGAAUAGUCUUUGAGUGGUUAGGGCACCUUAUCUUUUGAGAUAAAGAAGGGUUGGUCCAUGUUUGCAGUUCGUGACUAAUCCUUACAACAAUGUCGUUUUCAAGGAUUGAACAUGUGUCAUCCUUUGAACAUGUAAUGUGUCUUACAAUUACACCUAACAUUGUUGGUGAUUUACUUUAUUAUAUUCUUAAUUAAUAAUUAUGAUAUAUAGUAUGUUUAAGAUGCAUUUUCUUAUUCAUGUAUAUCAAUUGAAUCAAAUAUUUGUAUUUAAAAUUUUAACUCGACAUAUCGAAGGUCUGCUACUCUAGCACGUCUUUGGUCUGCUGCUCUAGCAUGUUUUGGUUUUUUUAGGGUUUUUUUGGCUUAUUUCUCUUUGUUCUAGCGAUGACAGUUCUUGGGAUAGAGUAUUUCUUUUCAAUCUGGUUGAUUUUGAUUCGUGGCAAUGGAGGAUGAAUUGGCAGAGUUAACAUUGGAAGAUGAGGAAUAGGAGAUUUUGCAAGUACAGAAGGAAACUGAUUCUGCGACAGUGGUUUAAGAUCUUUGUCUGGUUGGAUACUUUCUCACAACGAGUGUAAUCCACUUUAUGACAAUGAGAAGCGCGAUGGCAAAUCUAUGGCAUCCUCUUAGAGGAGUUCAGAUCUCUAAUUUGGGGGAUAAGAAAUUAUUUCAAUUUUUUCAUAAAAUGGAUAUUGAUAGGGUACUAAAUGGGGAUCCAUGGACUUUCAAUAAUCAUCUUUUGGUGAUUCAUUUUUUGGAGGAUGGUGAGGAUCCGAUGAAGGUACCGCUAAUCUAUACGACUUUUAAGGUGCAAGUGCAUGAUUUACCCCCAGGGUUUUUUACUGAAUCUAUAGCAAAGAAGUUAGGCAAUUUUAAGGGUAAGUUUUUUGGAUCAAUGGAAAAAGCUUGGGUAAGGGCCUCAGGAAUUUCUUACAUAUACGGGUUUAGAUGGAUGUUAGAUGCUAUUUGAAGCGAAAAAAGAAGAUUAUGUUUUCACUUGGCAAGUGUUCCUAUGUCAACUUGAUAUACGAAUGACUAACUCUAUUCUAUUUUGUCUAUGGUUGUUUGGUAGACAAUGACUCUUUCUGUCAAGUUAGAAUGGCUAAAGGCUUAGAAGUUGUAGAGAUGGGAUGGUAUCUGUCUCUAAAAGCCCAGUCUAGGAGAGCUACUACGAUGAACAGCGUGUGGCUGCGGGAGGAAGGUAAAGGUGAGAUAAAGGGAAAUACCAUAGGACAUUUUGAUUUAGGGUAGGGAUUGUGGAAGGAUGGAAGGAAAGAAUCUAGGAUGCCCAUAGAUCUGUGUUGGGGUUAAAUUUGGAGGGUGGUUUGAAGUUAGUGUCGGGUAUGCAAGGGAACUCUUCAACGAUACAAGAUCAUUCGAAUAUGGAUCACGACUCAGAGGAAUGCGCUAUAAAAGGUAAAGAUGGGAAAAAAAGACCCAAAAAGGAUAAUGGAAAUCAUAGUGUUUCGAUUGUGACAGAUUCACUUGUGAUUAGAGAUGAGAGAUUGUUGGGACGAACUCACUUUUUAUCGGCAGCUGCCAAGGGGCAAGAUGAUCAGUCACAAUAAAAAUAAUUAGUUGGAACAUCCGUUGAUUGGGGUGUCCACAGGCUAUAAGAAGGCUUUGACAUAUGUUGAAGGUGUAUAAUCCCCAAGUGGUCUUCUUUAUGGAGACAAAAAUUAGUAAUGUGCAAAUAGAGAAUGUGCAUAGAAGGUGUGGAUUUUUAAAUGGUAUUGAUGUUUCGGCCGAUGGUUCAAGAGGAGGUCAUUUUCUAGCUUGGAAGGAAAAUGUUAAAACGAAUCUAAUGAGUUAUUCUAGUAGUCAUGUAGAUGUUGUAUUUUAGAAGAUUGAUAAUGGAGGUUUGCUGGCUUUUAUGGGACAUCAAAUGCGUGUAGCAGAGACGAUUCAUGGAAUUUGUUAAGAAAUCUAGGACGCUCUCAAGCGUUCCCUUGGCUAGUGUGUGACAAUUUUAAUGAAAUUAUAUACUCUUUUGAAAAGGUUGGGGUGCCAAGAGAGGAGAAGAGAAUAGAGGUCUUUUGAGGAGUCUUAUAGGAAUGUUAGUUAAUGGACAUUGGAUACUUUAGGGCUAGGUUUACCUGGGAAAGGGGAAACUUACCGAAAACGAAUAUGAGAGAGCGACUGGAUAGAGGAGUGGCGAAUGCCGAAUGGAUGAACAUGUUUUCUAGUGCAGUGGUUUAGCAUUUACCACAUUCUUUUCCAGAUCAUUGUCCCCUUUUUAAUCAUACGGAGCAGGAGAGUAAUAGGUUGAGGCAGAAAAGGUUUCAGUCCGAGGCAUGGUGGGUGAUGUAAGAAUCUUUUGAGGAGGAGGUUAAACAAAUAUGUCAAUCUACUUCGGGUGAUAUGUUGGCUAAGCUAGAAGGUGUGAGGAAGGGCUUAGUGAGAUGGGCGGGUUUUGUUAGAAAUAAAAGAGAGGGCCUUAAAAGGAAUUUGACUAGAAAAUUGGAGGAGAUGAUGGGAAAGGAUAGAGAUGAUGAGAAUAUUGUUGAACUAUCUUAAAAUUCUCUUGUCAUAACUUGAAGUUUGUGUCAUUUAAUAUAAGAAUACAAUUAAUGCCUGCAAUAAUGUUGGCAGGUAUAAUUAUUGUUGUAUCAAACAAAACAAUCUCAUGUAUGACUUCAAAUAUAAAACAAAAUAAUAAUUAAUUCGAAUAAAGGUAAACCCUAAGAUACCAAUCACUCCAUUAAUAUUUCAUUUUUGAACAAAUAUAUUAAGUUGUAAAUGAUAUCUUGGUGUAGUAAUUAAACACCGACAAUAAGCGUCACAUGUUUAUUACAACAGUUGCAAAUGUAAUUUUGUUAAAUAUUAGCCUCCAUUUAGGCCAGUCAAUAUUAACAUAACUUAAGUUACAUACACACAACCCCAAAAUUAUAAAAGUCCUAUUGUUAAAUUGAUUUGGUUCCUUUGACAUAGGAAAGCCGAAUUGCAUAAACAAUCAAUGUAUCCCCUAUUUUAUUCAUGUUUAUCACAAUGUUUGAAGGAGUGCUCACUCUUUUAGGGCGUGUUUACCAUUGAGGUUGAAAAGUAUCAUUAAACCCAAACAAUUAUUUCAAACCAAACAUUAAUUUUAAACUAGGAUUUUAGGCCAACCCAAAACUUCUAGCUUUUACUUUUUGGAAAGGUGCUUUUCAAUUAAAAACCUUUUUAUUCCUCGUUAAACUUUCUACUUUAUAACAUAAUGUCUAAAAUGGAAAUUUUAUUUUUCUAAAAACACUUAUAGACAACAAUAAUAAUUACUAUUAAUUUUUUCAAAAUCACUUUUCUACGGCACUGUUAAACUUAAAUGAUAAUCUAGCCUUUUAACCACUCUUUUCUAACAGAGAGCUUAUCUCUUAGCAAUAGUUUGGGCAAACAAAAAUAAUGUAUAUAUGAAAACGAAUAUUGAAUUUGAAUGUACAAUCAAUUUUCUGAAUAAUUAAUUAAAAAGAAUGUUUGAAUUCAAAAAUUUUAAAAAUUUUGAUAAAAAAUGUGGAAGCGCAGACUUGUGUGAUGAAUAGUAAUGAUAAUAAUGAUAGAAGCUGUUUCCUGGCACGAGGAACUUAUGGAAUUCGUCCAUUUGGUUCUAUAUUAGCCCUGUUGCUUCCGUGUUUAAGAGUAAAACGACAAAAUAUUAAGUAGAAAACACCAAACGAAUUGAACUAUUUUCUUAAGAUGGUGUCGGUAAUGUAUCUGUGGAUACCCAUUUGAAUUUUUAAAAAACUGAAAAAAUUAAUUUAUUUUUUAGAUUGAAUCAGCAGCAGGAAAAUAAGAAAAAAUACAACUUUGAGUUUGAGUUUGGAACUCUGAGAUUUCGCUCGGUGAUCUGAAUGGUGAGGUGGUAUGUUUAAAUACGGAGAAUAAUAUAUAUUCGACUAGCAACAAUCUGAUGGAGUGAAAUAGGAACUGAAAAAAAGGGUAAUUUAAAGUUUUGGUCAUUGUUUUAAAAGAUUACCUUCAGUCAUUAUAUUUUUCAGUUUUGGAAUUCCAGUACUACUUAAAUUGUAAUUGUUAAAUCUAUUUACUAUAAUGAUAUAAAAUUUUUAUGAAUAUUAACACUAUUAUUUUUUUUAAAGCACUUAUUCAUGGCACAAGGAACUUAUGAUGAAUAGUAAUGAUAAUAAUGAUAGAAGUUGUUUUUCUGGCACAAGGAACUUAUGAUGAAUAGUAAUGAUAAUAAUGAUAGAAGUUGUUUUCCUGGCACAAGCAACUUAUGGGAUUCGUCCAUUUGGUUCUAUAUUUCUCCGCUUGCUUGAGCGUUUAAGAGUUAAAGGACAAAUUAUUAAGUAGAAAACACCAAACGAAUUGGAAGGCUUUUGUCUUCUUCAAUUGGUAUGACCUAUAUUUCUUAUUAAACUUCGUAUUUUACAUUCAAUAUCAUCAUCACAAUCAUUUUAAUUUAUUUUCAUGAAUAAACUUUUAUGUCUCAUUUUAAUUGAAUCAUUAAAAUUUAUUAAUUGAAUUUUUUUUUAAGAUGGUACCGUUAAUGUGUCAAGUGAUAUCAAUUUAAAUUUUUAAAAAAAGUUGUUUGAAUUAAUUUGAUUUCAUUCGGUAAUCCAAACAGUGAGAUAGUGUGUUUAACUACGGGGAAUAACAUAUAUCCAAAUGGUGACAAUCUGGUGGAGCGAAACAGAUAUCGAAGAAAGAGUAGUUUAAUGAAUUUGGAGUCGACUUCUGGAAAAUCUGAAUUAUAGAAGUGAACGAAGAGGAAAUCUCUUCUUUGGUGCCGUAAUCGACAUAAACGGCCAUUAUGAAUGGCAACAUCGAUAAUUAUUGAGUACAAUGAUUAAAAUUUUCAGUUAAAAAAAAGGAAUGGAAAGGAAAACAAAAAGAAAAACGUGGAAAGAAAGAAAGAAUAAUAAUAAUUAAUUAAUAAAUAAAAAGAGAAUUGUGGGGGCGAUGCUUUUGAACAAAUCUUGAUUUAAACUAUGUAAAGAAAAUAUGCGUUAUAUAUAUAAUUAAUUAUGCACUUAUACUUAAUAUAUUAUAUAUUUAAUGUCAUAUUUUCAUAUUCUCGGGAAGUGGUAAUAUACAAGUACUUGAUUUGAUUUAUUUCUUGAUCGCUUCGUGAAUUUUAUGUUUGUAACAAUAGGGACAGAAUUUCUUCAAUUCCAAUCGACUGGGCGUAUUGUGUCAAUUUUUUUUGAGUAAUAUACCUAGAAAUACCCGUUGAUUCCUUAUAAACGCCGUUUCAAACACAACUGGUACACCCCAAAAUAACCGUUACUCAGACAUCUUUACUAUUGACCAUGAACCUCCUUUGAGUUUUUAAUUCACCUAACUUUUCUAUUUUUCAAUCAAAAGCGAAGAAGAAAGGAAUGAAAAAAAGAAAGAAAUCAAAGUUGCUAACUCAAAACAAAUCCUGACAAUUUUGGUUGCAAUCAAUAUAGCAAGUCAAUAUAAAUUUAUAGUAAUAGCAAAUAAUAAGAAUAAGUAAUACAACGAUUUCUAACUCUAUUUAGAAUCAAAUCAGAGUAUGGUAUUUUCUUUAAUCAAUUAAUUGAAUUCAAAAUAUUCAAUUAAAAUAAAUUAAAUUGUAUAAAUUUUAUAAUUUUAAAUUAUUAUUUUUGUAUUAAUUUAAAACAAAAUAAAUAUUAUAUACAAUAAUUUAGUUGCAGCAUGUCAGCUUGAAGUCCAAGACCUUAUAACAUAUAAAUUUAAUAGAUAAUUAAUAACUAAAAAAUUAAAUAGCAAAAGCAUAAUUGCGCCACUUCUCACCAUUUUAGUGUAUGCAACUUAUUAUAUAUUUAUAUAUAUUAUCAUUUCAUUUUAAAUAAUUUAAUUUUUAUAUUAAUUUUUAUAAAUUUAGGGAUAAAUCUUAAAAUUAUACAUAAACUUUAAUUUAAUGUGUAAUUGCAUACAUAAACUUUAAUUUGGUACAAUUAUACACAUGAUACUCUAAUUGUGGUUCAAAUACAUACUUGAAACUUUAAUUUUGAUUUAAUCAUACACAUUUAAAUAAAUAAAUACAUCAAUUUAUUUUUAUAUUGGGUAAAUAUAUUUAUGUAUGCAAUAUAUAACAUAAAAUGAUGUUAUAUCAAUAAUUGUGUUAAUAAUUUUCAAGAAUUGGAUCAAAUCAAAAUUUCAUGUAUAAAAUUGCACAAAAUCAAAGUUCAUGUAUACAAUUGCACAUUAAACCAUAAUUCAUGUACAGUUUUAGUAUUUAUCCCAUAAUUUAUUAAAUAAACUUUUUACCUAUAUCAUAUAUAGAGUUGUCUGUGAACCGAGCCAAGGAAUGCCCGCUCGAAAAAAUGAGGGUUUAAGAAAAAAAAUAUGCCCAAAAAAAGGGCUUGGAUAAAAAGACAAGGCCCGUUUAGAAAAUGAAUCGGGCCUUUGCUAAGGUUUUUUUUGUCCAAGCUCAGCCCGACCCAAAUUUUCAAUAAAAAAACCCUACUGUUUUUACCGCUAUUUUUUCAUAUUUUGGUGUUGUUUUCUCACUUUUUGCCACUGGUUUACUAUCAUUUCACUAUUAUGUUACUACUAUUUUUUUUGUUAAUGUUUGGAUAUUGUAUAACACUUGUUUUAUUGUUAAUUUUGUCACUAUUUUAGAGGCAUUUGUUUGUUAUGUUGUACUUAUCUUAGUUUUUAUUUAAGUAUAAAAAAUUUUUAAAUUCUAUUUUCAAUUUAUUGGAAACAUGUAAUUUAAUAUUUGUAGUAUAUUUGGUGUAUUAUAAUAAUAUUUAUUAUUAAAAUAUUAAUAUUGAAUAUUUUCAAUAAUAUGUGAAGAAUAUUAUUUAAAAUUAUUUUUUAAAAUUUAUUAUUAAAUUAAAAUUGAAAUAUUAAAUAAUUUAUUAAAAUAAUUAAUUAUAUUAAUAAUUAAUUAUAUGACUAAAUAUAAAUAAUUAAAUAUGUAUGUUUAAUAAUAUUGAAAAAUAUAAUAUUUUAUAUUAAUAUUUUAAAUAUUUUUAAAAAUAAAAAUAAAAGUUAUUUUUAAUAUAAUAAUAUUAAGCUUGAUUUAAAUUAAUUUUUAUAUAAAAAUAAAAUUACCUAUAGAUGAGCUCAUUUUUUAGAAAAUGACUUACACUUUUCAAAAUGAUAAGUCAUUUUAUAGGAAAAAGAGCUAAUUUUACGUUGACCUAUAAGUCAUUUUCCGUUGACCAAACUGUUUUCUGUAAAACAAACAUAGAAAAAUGCAGAAAAUAGUUUCCGUAAAACUUUUUACAUGUAAACAAAUGGACCCUUAAUUCAAGCUUAUUCCAACAUAACCCACUUCACUAUUAGCAUGACUCUCCCUUAUACUAAAUUUAACCAUUAACCCUUCUCAUGAUUUCUAACAAAAAUUUUCAAGUUCUCUUUAAUGGCAACUUGUAUUAACUUCAACAAUAAGAAAUUCUAACUAUGGGGUUGGUUGUAUCAAGUUUCAUAGUUUAAAAAUCUAUAAAAAAAUUAUUGAGAAAAUAAUUUGUUUACCUUUGAUGGCCUUGAUGGAGAACAACUUGGUUUCUUCUUCUACUUAGUUUAAAGAAUGCAUGAAGAAGAAGAAGAUUUCCCCUCUCCCACUAUUUUAAAUAUAUAUAUAAAUAACCUAUUAAUCAAGGUAAUUAAGUCACUAAUUAACCUUAAUUAGUUAUGAUCUAAUGGCCAUAAACUUAUCAUGAGAAAAUUAGUGGAAAUGUGCGGCAUUGAUAAUGGUUUGCCAAUAAUCAAACUUUGGGCAUGGUAAUAUUGCAAUCAGGUUUUUGGUAUAAUUACACUUUUAAGUACUUGCUAAAUUCUGUAAUCAAUUCCCACUAGUUGGGUCACUUGAACAAUUGGGUCCAUGUACUAUAGUUACAACUUAUCCAAUUUAAUCAAUUAAUGAUUUGACUUUAUAAUUUCAUGUACAACACACAAACUCCUCUAGUAAAUUCUCGAGCUAGCUUUAUUUAAAAAUUUGGCCUCAAAAAUAGCUUUCCAAAUGUUCAUGAAAAUUGAGUCGUUACAUAUGGUAUUUGUUUUGUUCAGCUUAUUUGUCAGGCUCUAUAUCCUUUGAACUUAUGUUCGUUGACUUUGGUGUUGCUUAAAUGAAAAUGUGGUGAACAAUCUUAUGGAUAGGAGGAGUGUAUGAUUGAGUAUGUGUAACACCCUUAACCCACAUCCUUCGCCGAAUUAGAGUGACAGAGUGUUACUUGUAACACCCCAAACCCAGCCUAAACGUUAUGGUCGUAUCUGGCAAUGUCACACAAUAGUGUUUUUGAAACCUCGUUGUUACGUUGAAAACAUUUCAUGUUAUUAUCUUUAGUAAACAUUUGUUAGAACUUAGGAAGUCGUCUUUAUUCAUUUAAAACAUUUGUUUUGAAACAUCCCUCGUUGCGGAAGCUUUAAUAAAACAGUCUAAGUGAUCAUGCGUUUAGAAACUAUUUUAAUUUUUUGAAAACUGAAUUUCCUACGACCAACAGGUAUAAAUCCAUAAAGUAAAAUAAAUAAAUAAAAACCCAAAAUUUAAAACCAAAGUCCCAGAAGGUCCUUAAAUUACAACCCAAAUAAUCAAUAAUAAUUAAAUCAUAAAACGUAAAUUGAAAACCAUGAAGUCCAAAAAUUACUGUGGUCACCGCUGAGUCCUCCGUCGCACCGAUUCGUCUAAGUCUGGGGAUUACCUGUGCACGUUAAACAAAAAGGGUGAGUUUACGUAAAUUCAGUGUGUAGUCCCGCAGAAACAAAUAAACAAUCAGUAUUCACAGUGCACAGUUGAACAGUCUUGGGCCCAAGCCCAUCUCAGUACAAUGUCAAAAAUGCAGUAGCAGAAUCCUACCCAACCAACCUCCACACACUAUCUCCGCCCAACCCUACACUCCAUGUGGGGAUAUAAUCAACCCACCCAUCCCUACACUCCAAGUAGUACCGAAUGCGGCACAAAACAGUAGUUUGCAGCUGAGCUGCCAGUAAAUUAGGCUUAAAGCCUUUCAGUACACUUCCUCUGAAUAACAACCCCCAACCCGAUGCAAUGCAACAUACAAUAGAUGAUAUGCUAUUAUGCAAUUUCUGUACAUAUAUUUGGUUCAGAUAUUAACAUGCCCAGUAUAGAUAUCAUUCAGUCAAUUUCACACAUUUAGGGGUCUAAGUAGCGCUUACCGACCUUACAGUAGGUUCACAGUUGACUUGGGUGACCCGUACAACCUUAGAAACAUUCCGGUAAAAUUGGGCUACAUGCCCGUGUGUGCCCGUGUGGCCCACUCGGCCCAAUUUGGCCUUGGUCGUGUGAUCCAUUUUUAAUGUAACCCAUGCUAGCUAAAUAUUCAUAUAUGUUUUCACUAUUUACUUAUAUGUUCAUUUAAAGUUGUCUACUUGAGUCAUUGUCACUAAAUUAUUUAUACCUUGAGCUACAGAAUUCCAAAUUAAGAUCCGCUUGAUGUUUUCAAAACUAUACUCAAAUACCUUUCUACCAUAAAAUUUUCAAAUUUUAUAGUUUACCAAAUAAGUACAGUAAAAUCUUCAAAUUUAUCCCAAUUCUGCUAUUUGAUAGCUUCAACGUUUCCUUACUAAAAAUUAUUUAUCUCUUAGUACGGAAUUCGGAUGAUGUUUCCUUUGUUUCUCUUGAAAAUAGACUCGUUAAGGAUUUAAACAUAUAAAUUUAAGCCCCUAAUUAUUUUUUAAAAUUUUCGAUGAUUUUUCCAAAAUCAGAACAAGGAACCAAAACCCAUUCUAACAUUGUCUCACAAAAUUCAUUAUAUCUCAUAACUUAAAAUUUCAUUGCUUACACAGUUUCCUUCAUGAAAAACUAGACUCAAUAAAAUUUAAUAUCAUAUUUUAUUCAACCUCUAACUCAAUUUCCCCUAUUUUUGAUGAUUUUUCAAAGUUAGACUACUACUGCUGUCCAAAACUAUUUUAAUGCAGAAUGUUGAUUUCCAAGUUUAAAACACCCUUAUUUCCUUUCUCUACAAUUUUUUGCAUCAUUUUCUCUUAUUUCUCGUAUUUCUCGAUAGCAAGCAAUUUCAGCUUUUCGUUGAAUCCCAUUUUCUGCAUUUUGGGUACACACCUGGUAUCGUUUCUGAUGCGUAAGCACUCUUAAGCCUCCAGAACCUAAAAAUCGACCAAUAAAUCUCCAAAUUAAUCACUUAAUUCAUUUUUAAUCAACCAAUUUUGGAAGGAACUCGACUAAAAAAACCUAACAAAACCCUUACCUUGCUUCAGUAACCACGACUUCGCACAAUCAUAGUGUCGAUUCAAAACCACCAACCCCUUGAUUAACUCAUAAACACCAAAAAAGAAACCCCUUUUCAGAGAUUAACCAAGAACGAUUAACAAUAGAAAAAACUGUUACUUACCGAACACACGCAACCAACGAUGAACAACCAAAUCAAUUGGAAAAUAAUGAAAGAAAAGGAAGAGAAAAAAAUAAUGGAAAUUUCGGCAGCAACUAGGGGAAAGAAUCGGUAGAGGAGAGAAAAAAGAAGAAAAAAUCAGAAAAAGUUUGGGUAAUUGGAGAGAAAACCAAAACUCUACUUUUUUUUCUACAACAAAAAGAUAAUCAGAUUAUUUUCUGAUAACCUCUCCCCCAUUAUCUCCUAAAAUCACUCCUUAUUAACCCACUAAAACACAACUACUCAGAAUUUUACCCCAACACAACUCUUAGCCAAAAUUGGAGCAAAAAUACUGUCUCUACGCCAUCAUAGAGAAUUGAACAUAAGACCUCCUUCACACCAACACUCCAUUUAUCCACCAGACCAGCAAGCCCAUUCUGUUAAUUAUUUGUCAUCUUUUACUUAAAAGCCUACUGACCAAAGAUAGGGCUUAUUCAUAAAAAUACCAAAAUUUUCCCAAAACCUGGCUUGAACUUGGGACCUCUCACACACCCAAAACACUUAACCACUAAAGCAGAUACACAAUUGUGUCACACCUUCGUAAGAACAAAAAUAAAAAUUUUGGGACGUUACGUUACUAUACAAAAUAGAACAUUUCAUGACAACACAUAAAUAAUUAUGCAAAUUAUCACAAUCAUUAAUUAACCAUAUUAAAAUAUAACAUAAAUAUCCAUACGACCUUUAAAUCGAGCUUAUAUGUCCCUAAAAAUAGCUUGAGAUCAAUCUAGGAUCAAUUUUGAACAAAAACAUAAAUUUUAAAAAAACCCUAAAAAUUUUGGAAAACAUGGGUCACACAGCCGUGUGUCCAGGCCAUGUGACAUAGCCCAGACCUUGUGGGCAUUCAAAAUCAGGUAACGCAGUCAUGUCCCAGCCCGUAUGUCUACUUGUGUGAAUAUUCGAAAUAGGGUCUCACGGUCGUGUCGAGGAUCGUAUGCUAAACCGUGUGUAUAUUCAAAUUAUGGACACACGGCCGUGUCGCAGGCCAUGUGCUAGACCUUGCUCAAAACUAUUUUGAGACACACAGCUGUGUCUUAGACUGUGUGAAAUUUUCACUUUAAACAACAACACACAGCCGUAUCCUAAGCCGUGUGCACCAAAAUGUACCUUAAAAAUCAAAUUUACCAAAACAUGUUUACUUAGGCAUCAAGCAACCUAAUUACCAUCAAUUAAACUCAUUCAAAACACGAUUAAACAUGUUCAAAAUAUCCAUCCUAAGUUCCUAACCAUUGUGCCCUCAUUGACACCAUAAUUCAAUAAUCAAAUCAAUCACAUUUAAACCAAGAUUUAAACAUUCAAAUUAUAAAAUCACCAUUAACCAUUCAUACCAAAACACUACUCAUUUCAAGUCAUAAACACCUAGCAAUAUUCACAUACUUUAUAAAGCUUAACUACCAAUACCAAAUAAGAUCCAUACACACAUACAUACCAAACAAAACACAUAUUCACAAGUAUCAUUCAAGGUUUACAACUUUACAUGUAAUUAACAUGAUUUCAAGUCACUUAUUACAUGUCAUAUAACCCAAAACAAACAUUAAACAAACUACCAAUAGUUUCUCGAAUAGUUGAUUCUUGAUCUUGAUCUAUAAUAUAAUUUAUUUCAAUUAUUAGCCUCAAUUUUCAUAUUCUAAUCAUUUCAAUACAUAUGAUCUCUUGUUUACAAAUUUACAUAAUUACCCUAAAUUUUUACACAUUAUUCAAUUUAAUCCCUAUGACCAAAUCAAGCUUAGUUCUACAAUUAAAUUCUCAAUCCAUAGAACUAAAUUUUAACCACAUCCAAAACAAUUCAUAUAUGCUAAAAUUUUCAAGAGUAACAUGUCUAUUUCAAUUAAAUCACUAAACAUCAAAAUUUGUAAAAAUCACUUUACAAACUCAAUACAUAUCAUCACCAAGCUUCAACCCAAACUAUUUAAUAUUACAAAUCUUCAAAAUUUUCAAUACAUAAUUUCUAUACUUUGAUAACUUCACAAAUAAACUCCAAAACUAGCUAAAUUCCAUUAUCAAUAGCUCAAAACUUAAAUUUUAUGAUAAAUAAACCAAGAAAAUACUUACAUGCAUUAAAAACUAUCAAAAACCAAGCUCCCAAGCCUUAGAACAAAGGUGUUUCGGCCAAACCUAAGAAAAAUAAAGAAGAUGACCACUACCCCACUUUUGUUUUACUUUCUUUUUAUUAUUAUUAUAAUGUUUAUUUAUGAAAUUAUAACAUUAUCAAACACCAAUUUGAUAUUGUUUUUCUCUCUUUACCGCCCAUAUUAACUAACUAUGGGCUAAUGGCAACAUAACCCCCCUUAGUUUACUAAUUUAAGCUGUUAUAUUAAAAUAAAUCAAUAAUAAGCAACUUUUCCACCUAUUACAAAUUAAUCCUUUUUCUUUAAUCAAUUCACUAUACGUUAAAUUUUCUAAACCAAAACUUAAUAUAACACUGAUGACUUUGUAAAUAUUAAAUAAUUAAUAAUUUUAGAUUGACACGUCGAAAUUGUGGUCCUAAAAUCAUUAUUUUCAACACCACUAGAAAUCGGACUGUUAUAGUAUGGUUCUACCUCUUAGGGGGAGAUGUAUUCUAGUUUCCUUUCACUUGUUUAGAUGAUGUGUUAAUCAUUUGCUAUUGGUUUUGUCAAAAUGCCAAAUGGUGAGAUUGUUUGAACUUUGACUUCUUUUCUUAUUUCACUUCAUGUUCGAAGAGUAGAUUAAACCAUGCUUUGAUGCAUUCAAAGAAUUUAUGUUGGUAUAUUUGAUUUUAUAAUGAAAUGGCUUAUAGUUUAAUCUCGUUGAGUAGCAAAUGGGGAAGUGAUUUUGUAUUAUAACAUGUGAUGAUCAUUAUCUUUCAAUCAACUACCUUGGAAAAGAACGAGAGGAGUUUGAACUUUUGGGGACUUUCGUAAUAUUUGAAGCUGCUGAGAUAUUUGUUUAUAAAGACUUUUAUUUAUCAUUAAUCAAAAUAAUUCAUGAGAUAAUUUCAACCUUUAUAUUGGAGUUCUAAACUUAUGAAGACUCUAUUAUUGGCCUAUAAAUAGGCAUAAUUACCGCACAUUGAAAAUAGGCUUUUGGAGGGUUUGGAUACUUUGGUGAAUUUUUCAUUGGGCUAUAAAUAGGCAUAAUUACCGCACAUUGAAAAUAGGCUUUUGGAGGGUUUAAGUUGGAUACUUCAGUAAAUUUUUCUUGUGUUUUAUACCACACUCUUUUUAAGUUUUAUUGGAGAUAUUUAUUUGAUUGUAAGUGAGGUAUUUUGGAGAGAAUGAUUUAUAAUAAUUUAGGUUCAAUAUUAAAGUUGCAAAUAAUUACGGGUAAAAGUAAUUUGGACUGUAGUCAAUAGUUGAUCAAGACGAAUUGUAAAUUAAAAUUAUUUUCUAAGUAAAAUUCUACAAAAUAAAACUGGUAAAUUCAAACUGCGUUAAUAAAUAUUACAUAUUAUCUUUCCUUACUUUACUCGUUGCUUUACCUUAUUUUAAAAUUGUUUUGUUAUAAUCUAUUAUGUUUGAACCUUUUCGAUCGAAAUAAAAAAAAUGAGAUUGAAAUUGUGAUAAAGCUAAAAAAAGGUUACAACAAAUAUGAUUAAUAUUAUUUUUUAUAUAUACUUAAUAAAAGUUAAAAAGGGAAUUCCAUUUAUUGAAUAUUAUUUUAUUUAAUAAAAUAUAUUUUAUAUAUUUUAUAUAAAAUUUAAACAUUUUAUUGUUUGUUAGUUAAAUUUUAUUAUUUUUAUUUUCUUUAUGAAUAAAAAUAAUUUUCCUAAAAUAUGAGAUAAAAAAUGUUAUAGAGAAUUAAAUUAAUAAAAAGUACAGUUCAUACUUUAUAAUUAUUAUAAAUGAAAAAAUAUUAUGAAAAAAUAUUAAACAUAAAAAAUUAAUUCUAAAAUAAACUUAACUAUAAUAAAAUAAUUUUAUAUAAAAAAAGAAAUUAUAGAAAAGACUUAUUGAAUAUAUUUCCAAUUUUCGACAUUCAUAAAACAAAAAAUAAAAAAAGUGGUUCUAAUAAUUUAUUUAUACAAAAAAAAAAAAGUGGUCCUGACGUUCAUCCUUUCCCAUCUCUAUAAAUUUGCAUGCAGAACUAAAGCAACACAUAUCAACACAAUCUGUAUAACCAUGAAAACCACAACAGCUUCGGUGUUUCUUCUUUUCAUCAUCUUCUCAAUCACACCAUCGUCCUUUUCGUUUGGUGUGGCCAACUCUACAAACGCUCCUGUGCUCGACAGUGAUGGCAACGAGCUCCGCACGGGCACCCCAUACUUCGUUGUGUCGUCGAUAUGGGGUGCUGGUGGUGGGGGGCUUGCCCUAGGCAUGCCUAGCGGAAACCCAUGCCCGGAAGUCGUUGCUCAAAGAGGAUCCGGUGACGAUGGUAUUCCGGUGAUAUUUUCUAAUUCGGACUCCAACGAUGGCGUUGUUCGCCUAUCCUCUGACAUAAACAUAGAGUUCAUUCCCCUCAGACCCAAACUUUGCCGAACAACAACGGUGUGGAAGGUCGAUGAUUACGACCACUCAGCCGGAAAAUGGUGGGUGAUAACCGAUGGGGUUAAAGGGAACCCGGGUGCCAACACUUUGACCAGUUGGUUUAGAAUAGAGAAGUUGGGUGAUCUUGAUUACACAUUUAAGUACUGCCCCGCAGUAUGUGGAACAUGCCCAGCUUUAUGCAACGAAAUUGUGAGAGACUCAGAUGGAGAAAUGAUACGUUUGGCUCUCUCCAAUGGCCAUGGAUGGCAAUUUUACUUUAAGAAAGUUGAAACAUCAGCCAUGGAGAUUCAACAAGUUCAUAAUUAGAUUGAAAGCAAUCAUUAUGCAUGAACUAGUAGUUACUAUACAUUAUUACCUUCAAGUAAAUAAUGCCGAGAGAACUGAUUGUUAAUUAAGAUUGCCUUGUUUGAAGCAGCAGCAUGAAUAUAUAUAUAUGCUUGCUUACAAGGUUUGUCUCUCAGAGUCCUUCUCUUUGUACUCUUUCCAGCUUAAUGUAUAAACUGUCUACUUAUUUACUUCUUUUAUCGCCAUUGAUUCUAGUAGUAUUAGACUCAUUAACUUGGAUACAUUGUCUUGUAAUUAACCCAAAAAUUAUAUAUAUAUAAAAAAAGAGUGAGAGAGGAAAAUAGACUACCAAGUAACAAGCGAAAAACGGUAAUACUAGGGUUAUUUAGAGUGGUUUCAAUGCACAACGGGAAUGAAUUGUCGUUGGUUGGGUGGUUAGGGCACCUUACUUAUCUUUAGAGCUAAAGAAGGUUUCGUAACUACUCUUUCAAUAAUAUUAUUUUUAAGGUUCGAACCUGCAUUAUCCUUUGAACACGUAAUAUGUUUUAUCAUUACGCUCAACAUUAUUAAUGAUUUACUUUAUUCUAUUCUUAAUUAAUAAUUAUGAUAUAUAUUAAGUUUAAGAUGAAUUUUCUUAUUCAUGUAUAUCAAUUAAAUCAAAUAUUUGUAUUUAAAGUUUUAACCCAACAUUAACUUCUUCUUUUUUUUAUUUCUUUCUUUGUUGGUGAUGAUUAGGAGAUUGAUGGCCGGUCUUUGUGGUUGGUAGCUUUUAACACAAUGGCAAAGCCAAGGAGGCUUUAAAUGUUUAAAUGGAUUUUUUUUUCAUUUAAACUUCUUUAUAAUUUAUAAAAUUUUAAAUUAAUAAUGAUAAAAUUACAUUUUAAUCUUUUAAAAAUAAUAAAAAUGUGGAAGCACAUUUGUACGAUUAAUAAUAAUGAUAAGAUUUUUCCCACCACAUGGAAAUUUAUGGAAACGUCAUUGGGUUUUGUAUUUAUGUUUUAUUUGACACUCUUUUAAGUUUUAUUGGGAAGAUUUGCUUGAUUGUAAGUGAGGUAUUUUGGAGAGAAUGAUUUGUAACAAUUUAGAUUCAAUAUUCGAGUUGCAAAUAAAUAUAGAGUAAAGUAAUUUGGGCUUAGUGAAUUAUAGAAUAAAAUCAUAUUCUAAACAAAAUUUUAUAAAAUAAAAUUAAUGAAUCCUAACUAAGUUAACAAAUAUUUCUUCACUCUAGGCAUUGCUUCACCUUAUCUCAAAAUUGUUCUGUAAUAAUCUAUUUUGUCUCGACCUUUCCAACAGAAUUUAAAAUGAAACUAUUUCUGAUAAGUGCAGGCCAAAAACUUUUUCGCGUACCAAUAAAUGGCAAGCGACCAUACUGUGGGCCCAAUGUCCCAACAAUCAUCUAAACAUUUUUUUUAAUAAUAUGUAAUAAUUUAUAUACCAUAUAUGAAUAUUAAUUAAAAUAAUAUAAUAUGGACCCAAAUUGUUUCAUAUUUGAAAUCCAAUUUUUGAUAAUUUCACAUUUCAUAUUUUAUCUUAGAACAAAAAAAAUAUAUUUGAACUUAAUAUUUGGCCUAUUAAUCAAUGGUGUUUACUAUAUUUUAAGACUAUCGAAUUAAUCUAUCGACACUACUUGUAUGGUAUAAUUUAAAUGGGUGUGUGUGGGUAUAUAAAUUUGAAAUUCUAUUGUAUCAAAGAAAAAUUUAGAAAAAAAUAAAAAAAAAAAAGAAUUUGCAAUUUAUAAUUUGAGAUAAAAAUAAAAAAAUGAGAUUUGUGAUAAACCAUAAAUUAAGCUCAAAAAAAGUUACAACAAAUAUGGUUAAUGUUAUUUAUAUAUAUACUUAAUAAAAGUAAAAAUAUCGAAAUUCCAAUAUUAUUUUUAUUUAAUAAAAUAUAAUUAAUAUAUUUUAUAUAAAAUUUAAAUAUUUUAUUGAAAUAUUAUGUUAGGUAAAUUUAUAAAUAAAAUUAAUUUUACUAAAAUUUGAGAUAAGAGAAUUAAAUUAAUAAAAGGCAUAUUUCAUAUUUUAUAGUUAUUAUUAAUAAAAAAUUAUUAUAAAAAUAAAAAAUCAAUUCUACAACAUAAUGAAAUAUUUUUAUUAAAAAAACCAGAAAUGAUUGAUGGAAUAUAUUUCCAAUUUUCGACGUUCAUAAAAAAAAAAAGAGUGGUCCUAAUAAUUUAUUUAUUGGGAAAAAAAAAGUGGUCCUAUUAAUUUACCUCACAUUUGAAAUGUGUUAUAUGUAAUAAUAAUAAUAUCUAUAUAAAUUUUGGACGUUGAUCCUUUCCCAUCUCUAUAAAUUCGCAUGGAGAACUAAAGCAACACAUAUCAACACAAUUUAUAUAACCAUGAAAACCACAACAGCUUCGGUGUUUCUUCUUUUCAUCAUCUUCUCAGUCGCACUAUCGUCCUUUUUGUUUGGUGUAGCCAACGCUACAAACGACCCUGUGCUCGACAUUGAUGGCAACGAGGUUCAAACUGGCACCCCAUACUACGUUGUGUCGUCGAUAUGGGGUGCUGGUGGUGGGGGGCUUGCCCUAGGUAGGCCUAGAGGAAAGCCAUGCCCGGAAGUCGUUACUCAAAGACGAUCCGGUGACGAUGGUAUUCCGGUGAUAUUUUCUAAUUCGGACUCCAACGAUGGCAUUGUUCGCCUAUCCUCUGACAUAAACAUAGAGUUCAUUCCCCUCAGACCCAAACUUUGCCGAACAACAACGGUGUGGAAGGUCGAUGAUUACGACCAUUCAGCCGGAAAAUGGUGGGUGAUAACCGAUGGAGUUAAAGGGAACCCGGGUGCCAACACUUUGACCAGUUGGUUUAGAAUAGAGAAGGUGGGUGAUUUAAGUUACAAAUUUAAGUACUGCCCCACAGUAUGUGGAACAUGCCCAGCUUUAUGCAACGAAGUUGGGAAAGACUCAGAUGGAGAAAUGGUACGUUUUGCUCUCUCCACUGGCCCUGGAUGGUCAUUUUACUUUAAGAAAGUUGAAAAAUCAGCCAUGGAGAUUGAACAAGUUGUUCAUAUUUAGAUUGAAAGCAAUCAUUCUGCAUGAACUAGUAGUUAUUAUAUAAUAUUAGCUUCAAGUAAAUAAUGCUGAGAGAACUGAUUGUUAAGAUUGCCUUGUUUGAAGCAGCAGCAUGUAUAUAUAUAUAUGCUUGCUUACAAGGUUUGUCUCUCAGAGUCCUUCUCUUUGUACUCUUUUCAGCUUAAU